GCCGCUCCCGCUCCCGCCGCUCCCGCUCCCGGGCCAGCCCCUGCCCGCAGGAGCGAUGCCACCUGCGCCCUGUCGGGUAACAGGCUCAGCGAAGUUCUCUGUUACGAUUUGUUAGCUCCCACCUUGAAGAUCCUGCCUGGAUUUGAAAACCCUUUGGAUGACUUGAUCUGAAAGCAUGUGCCUUGGGUGCGCAUGUUUUUCUCUGAAAAUAACAUUGAGGCUAUUUUACCUUUCCAGUCUCUCCCUGGGAAAGGGAAUCUAAAGACUCAAACAAACCUUCUCUCCAUGGUGCCUCCUCAACCCCAGCAGCAUCGUCAAUGCCUGACCUCAGUUCUUCCCAUGAAGCACACAAGAAAGAGCUUGGCUGUGAUAAAUGCUGGCAAGGUCUUCACAACAGGCUGGUGCCAUGGUUUACAGGCUCUGAGUGAGGCACAGAUGCUCAGUGAAGAUUGUGCAUGGCAGAGGCGCGUGCAGCCAUGUCAGAGCAAGUGUAUGAGAAACUUCCUGCCUUGCCCAUUUUGGUGUGUAACCACUUGUCCAGGCCACUUGUUUCUCAAUUAAACAAGGGAUUUGGCAGCUGGGUCUCUGUGUUCUCAGUGAUUUUUCCAGCCUACACUUAAUUUUUCCCAAGGUUGGGCAGGAGGAUAGAAGGAAGAAGUAGAGAAAGUUUUUUCAGAACUUUUAUUUUCAUUGAUGUACGAUAUGUAAAUUAUGAAGAACACUAGUGGGAAUAUAGUUCUUAAAAGUAAGUAGCAGUAUGACUUAAUACAGCCAAUCACCAAGAAAGAGAUGAUAGGGCAUCACUGUAGCGUCUGCUCUAAUGUUAUGAAGCUGGCAAUAAAAUGCAAUAUUUAGUAACAGCC
This is a long non-coding RNA of Corvus hawaiiensis (hawaiian crow), 863 nucleotides long. RefSeq lists it as uncharacterized. The transcript is spliced from 2 exons. The record is from RefSeq and is a predicted model, not a curated record. Lineage: Eukaryota; Metazoa; Chordata; Aves; Passeriformes; Corvidae.